CUCCCGCGCCUUAAUAAUGCGUCACCCACCGAACUCCCCAAUCACAAGCUGCCGGGUCCUGGCAGGGGUAGCUCCGCCCCCCAACAGAGUUUCCCCUAGACCGGAGCUGGCGGGAUUACGUCCUCCAUCACUGAGGCCCCGCCCCUUGUCGUGCGUCUCCCUCCGCUAACGAUAAAUUCCAAUUUCGGUAUCCUCCGCCAAGACACAAAUCUUUUCCAGGCAUCUCUGCAGUGUUGCUUGAUAAAACCAGCUGUGUCAUGCGAAAAAAGGAGGAUUUGAAGGACCUUACCAUCCAUAGAAACUCCCUCUGUAAAUCGGAUUCUGUGCUGGAUCUCUUCUGCAACAGUGGUAAAAACCUUUGGGAUUCCAGCUGCAGAAUCAAGUUGGAAAAGAAGACCAGAACAGUGUUGUAGGCCAGGAUUUCAGUGGAUCCAGAGUCUGGAGUCAAUAGUAGAGGGAGCAAUUGGAGGCUAUCAGCAGCCCUGCAGCAUGG
Molecule: non-coding RNA, 493 nt
Organism: Phascolarctos cinereus (koala)
Lineage: Eukaryota; Metazoa; Chordata; Mammalia; Diprotodontia; Phascolarctidae
Source: RefSeq, a predicted model, not a curated record